Molecule: non-coding RNA, 214 nt
Filed under: Enterococcus cecorum
Lineage: Bacteria; Bacillati; Bacillota; Bacilli; Lactobacillales; Enterococcaceae
Description: T-box sequence
Rfam family: T-box leader
About the family: Uncharged tRNA acts as the effector for transcription antitermination of genes in the T-box leader family. T-boxes are found upstream of many aminoacyl-tRNA synthetase genes and some amino acid biosynthetic genes usually in Gram-positive bacteria. The anticodon of a specific tRNA base pairs to a specifier sequence within the T-box motif, and the NCCA acceptor tail of the tRNA base pairs to a conserved bulge in the T-box antiterminator hairpin.
Source: RNAcentral
AUGCUUACGUUGAUCAAGAGGAGUAGUAGCGUUUAUUGAUUUUUAGAGAGAAGACCCUUGGCUGUGAGGUUUUUAAUCAAGCGUUAUGAAGGUAGUUUGUGAGUACUUAUCUUGAAAAUAUGUGUAGAGAUAAGCGAGUAGUGAUCGUUAACUCACUUUUGAGAGGUAGUAUUGACUACAAUUUAGGUGGUACCGCGUAAUUUACGUCCUAAUG